AAAGGUGGAGGCGGAAGUGACUGAUCAAUUCAGGGGUGUGGGGUUCGUUUAGGUUUUGCCCUGUGUAUGACCUCUUUUGGAGCCAUGAAACCAGCCUCAAGCUUUAUUCUAGGGAGGUAAUUCUGAAGAUACCUAUCUUCUUGAGAGUGAAAUUUUAUGGAAUCCUAGAUUUCUCAUACCUAGGAAUAACAAUGAGCAAAGCAGACCUUGGUGGCCAGAGGGAGCCCUCAGGUAGAGCUGCAGAUGCUGGCAGUUUGUGUUAGAAGGUUCCGGGGCUAAACAGAUGUCUAGAAUUAGCUACCAAAAGGUAAAUUGUAGACUCUGCUCUUCAACAAGAAGCAGAAGGAUUAGGAAUUCAAACAAUACUAUUUUACAGUGGCUUUUCUACAAUAUAAAGAUGGAAAUGGGAUGAAGAUGUUCAUUGCAAAUUAGGAAAGCUCUUCCACAAGUUCACCAAUGGAAAUAACAUCAAGAGUUUUUCAUCGUCUUAGUGUGCAAGAUUAAAAUGAAGAAUGAAAGGAAAGGGAGAGCGUCUCUCUUUACAACGCUGGAACAGAUGUCUUGAGUCUGCCUCCUGAUGACUCAAUUUAUGUCAUGUGCUCAGCCCUAAACCAAUCCCUGUGGCAGAAGUGAAGUGGCUGUGAAAAGAACUGGGAGUAGUAUUGAGAAGAAAAGUAGAAAAUGACAGGUCAAAAUAUAACAAAUGUCCACUACCAAAAAUAACAUUUUCCUGUCAAUUUUUAAGCAUGUGUGUAUGGUUUCAAUGUAUUAUUAAAAGUAUGUGAGUGUAUACAUAUACAUAUAAGAAUAUAAUGUAUUCUAUAU
RNAcentral lists this long non-coding RNA (825 nucleotides) under Pongo abelii (Sumatran orangutan). RNAcentral's name for it is "lincRNA". Lineage: Eukaryota; Metazoa; Chordata; Mammalia; Primates; Hominidae. The record is from RNAcentral.